UACGUAGGGGGCAAGCGUUGUCCGGAUUUAUUGGGCGUAAAGAGCGUGUAGGCGGCCAGGUAGGUCAGCUGUGAAAACUCGAGGCUCAACCUCGAGCUGUCGGCUGAAACCAUCUGGCUAGAGUCCGGAAGAGGAGAAUGGAAUUCCCGGUGUAGCGGUGAAAUGCGCAGAUAUCGGGAAGAACACCCGUGGCGAAGGCGACUACCUGGCCUGUUCUUGACGCUGAGGCGCGAAAGCUAGGGGAGCAAACGGG
RNAcentral lists this ribosomal RNA (253 nucleotides) under uncultured bacterium. RNAcentral's name for it is "partial 16S ribosomal RNA". It matches the Rfam family "Bacterial small subunit ribosomal RNA", at positions 524 to 776 of the family's 1533-position model. The record is from RNAcentral.